This 74-nucleotide small RNA is filed under the name Klebsiella variicola. RNAcentral's name for it is "isrK". It matches the Rfam family "isrK Hfq binding RNA". The record is from RNAcentral. Lineage: Bacteria; Pseudomonadati; Pseudomonadota; Gammaproteobacteria; Enterobacterales; Enterobacteriaceae.
GCUGCAGCAAAAUCUGUAGCCGGGCGUGAGAACCCGUGUAAACGAAGCGCACAACACGCGCCAGCGUGUUUUUU